Molecule: unclassified non-coding RNA, 602 nt
Filed under: Hevea brasiliensis (rubber tree)
Lineage: Eukaryota; Viridiplantae; Streptophyta; Magnoliopsida; Malpighiales; Euphorbiaceae
Source: RNAcentral
UUUUUUUUUUUUUUUUUUCCUCAGUUUUUCUUCCUUCAUAUCCAACAAAUGACAUCAGAGCUUUAUUGAUCUUAAGGGACCAAAUCAAAGUUUUUCUUUUGUUGAAGAAACCUGGCUGAAAAUGCUUCACUUCCACCACCACCAGUGUUCAAAAGGGAGAACUACAAUUUUUGGUCUGUCAAAAUGAAAGCUUUUCUCAUGGCACAUGAUCUGUGGGAGACAGUUGAGAAGGGUUAUGAACCAUCACUUCAAGACAAUCCUACCAUUGCUGAGAUGAAGAAAUAAAAGGAAGAUUCAACAAAGAAUUUCAAAGCGCUCUCAUUUCUCCAUUCAGCAGCAGAUGAUUCAAUAUUUCUAAGAAUUAUGGGGGCAACAACAGCAAAAUCAGCCUGGAAUGCUCUUCAGGAGGAGUUUCAAGGUUUAGAAAAGGUAAGAGCUGGUAAGUUGUUAAAUUUGAGAAGGGAAUUUCAAUCAUUAAUGAUGAAUGAAGAAGAGACUAUUAAAGAUUAUGUUUCAAAGUUUGUUAAAGUUGUUAAUGAAAUGAAAAUUUAUGGAGAGAUUUUUUCAGAUCAAUUGAUUGUCGAUAAAGCAUUAGUAAGUAC